UUGAAUAAUGGGCCAGUGCAGUCGCACUGACUGCUCGGGCAGGGCCGGGACUGCUAAUGAGGUGCAGCUACCUCCAAAGGCACUCACACGGUCACCAACCAUGCUUACUGAGGGACUACCAUAUGGCAUCUCCAUGCACACUAACGAAAGAACAUUGAAUUAUAUCAAUCAAAUGCAAAGGACCCAAGCCUCCGAACAUCAAAACAACAUGUGCCUCAGUCCUAUGUCUACAUAAGCAAGCUGAAACCAACAUAGGAGAAUUCUGUCUCCAGGAAACUACUCUCUUAUGCUCUGUGAAGCUCCUUCAAUACAAACGUUUGUGGAUCAACCCACAUAUGCAUGCAAAACAUAUUAGUCAAGCA
This 362-nucleotide long non-coding RNA is filed under the name Prunus persica (peach). RNAcentral describes it as "long non-coding RNA (PPER_LNC001981)". The record is from RNAcentral. Lineage: Eukaryota; Viridiplantae; Streptophyta; Magnoliopsida; Rosales; Rosaceae.